GAUGAACGCUGGCGGCGUGCCUAAUACAUGCAAGUCGAGCGAACAGACGAGGAGCUUGCUCCUCUGACGUUAGCGGCGGACGGGUGAGUAACACGUGGAUAACCUACCUAUAAGACUGGGAUAACUUCGGGAAACCGGAGCUAAUACCGGAUAAUAUAUUGAACCGCAUGGUUCAAUAGUGAAAGACGGUUUUGCUGUCACUUAUAGAUGGAUCCGCGCCGCAUUAGCUAGUUGGUAAGGUAACGGCUUACCAAGGCGACGAUGCGUAGCCGACCUGAGAGGGUGAUCGGCCACACUGGAACUGAGACACGGUCCAGACUCCUACGGGAGGCAGCAGUAGGGAAUCUUCCGCAAUGGGCGAAGGCCUGACGGAGCAACGCCGCGUGAGUGAUGAAGGUCUUCGGAUCGUAAAACUCUGUUAUUAGGGAAGAACAAAUGUGUAUGUAACUAUGCACGUCUUGACGGUACCUAAUCAGAAAGCCACGGCUAACUACGUG
This 497-nucleotide ribosomal RNA is filed under the name uncultured bacterium. RNAcentral's name for it is "partial 16S ribosomal RNA". It matches the Rfam family "Bacterial small subunit ribosomal RNA", at positions 28 to 507 of the family's 1533-position model. The record is from RNAcentral.